This 886-nucleotide ribosomal RNA is filed under the name uncultured bacterium. RNAcentral's name for it is "bacterial SSU rRNA". It matches the Rfam family "Bacterial small subunit ribosomal RNA", at positions 56 to 976 of the family's 1533-position model. The record is from RNAcentral.
UGCUAGUUGAUGUUUUUAUAAACAUGGCGUACGGGUGAGUAAUACACAAGAAUCUACCUUAAAGUUUUGGAUAAUCGUAUUUUUUAUAAAGAAUGUUAUGCAGCGAUAAUCCGAAAUUAAAAAGUAAAAUACUGCUUUAAGAUGAGCUUGUGAAGGAUUAGGUAGUUGGUACGGUAAAAGCGUACCAAGCCGAUGAUCCUUAGCUGGUCUGAGAAGAUAAUCAGCCACACUGGGACUGAGAUAAGGCCCAGGCUUAUAGCCAGCAGUGAGGAAUCUUGGACAAUGAGCGAAAGCUUGAUCCAGUAAUACUGCGUGAAUGAGGAAAGCAAAAAAGAUUUAUAGGUCUCACGAUUUAUAAAUCGGUUGUAAAGUUCUUUCGUUGAUGAGGAUAAUGACUGUAAUCAAAGAAGAAGCCCCGGCUAACUUCGUGCCAGCAGCCGCGGUAAUACGAAGGGGGCGAGCGUUAUCCGGAAUGAUUGGGCGUAAAGUGUUCGUAGGCUGUACUUGUUGUUAUAAGUAAAAUACUAGGUUUGUUGCUUAGAUCUGCUUAUAAUACACUUUUGCUUGAGUAUAGUAGAGGAUAGCAGAAUUUCGUACUUAGGGGUAAAAUCCUAUUAUUUACGAAGGAAUGUCAGCGGCGAAGGCGGCUAUCUGGGCUAUUAACUGACGCUGAGGAACGAAAGCAUAGGGAGCAAACAGGAUUAGAUACCCUGGUAGUCUAUGCUGUCAAAGAUGAGUGCUAAUGUUAGGAAUUUUUCUAGCAUAAAGCUAACGCGUUAAGCACUCCGCCUGGGAAGUACGAUCGCAAGAUUGGAACUCAAGGAAUUGACGGGGUCUACACAAGUGUGGAGCAUGUGUUUAUGCGAUAUACGCGCAAACCUUACCA